GGCCGACUAGCUCAGUUGGUUAGAGCGUCGAACGCGAAGGUCUUGGGUUCGAUCCCCACGUUGGCCA
Molecule: transfer RNA, 67 nt
Filed under: Leucoagaricus sp. SymC.cos
Lineage: Eukaryota; Fungi; Basidiomycota; Agaricomycetes; Agaricales; Agaricaceae
Rfam family: tRNA
About the family: Transfer RNA (tRNA) molecules are approximately 80 nucleotides in length. Their secondary structure includes four short double-helical elements and three loops (D, anti-codon, and T loops).
Source: Rfam by way of RNAcentral